AAGAAAAGUAGAAAAGUCACGUGAAUAAAUAAACUUUCGUUAGAAAUGAAUGAAAAAUAUAACAGAAUAGAAAAUUUACAAGGAUGUCUUUGAUCAAGUUUUUAAAAUUUAAAGGAUGUUUUAAGUUUAGUAACAUAUUAUAAGGAUGAAAUUAAAGUUUGGGUGAAAUAAUAAGGAUGAUUUUGGUAAAGAAUUCAGAUCUAUUAGCUGCCAACAAUAGAUCUAAGCUCCCAUUAGAUAAAUAUCAAACCUUAAAUCAUCAAAUCUUGAGAGUUAACUAUUAUUAGGGACCUCAAAGCUUUCAACCCAUAUCAAAAUCUCUCUGCCUUUGAAUGAUAAGCAUAAGUUUCAUGCUUCAACAAAAUAGAUAACUCUUGCCUAUUUUCUAGCAGAAAUAUGCUCAAAUACACAUUAUUGCAUCGUUUUUUUGACUCCAUCAUCCCCUGAUCGCCUCUUGCAGAUUGAGUCUCAAUGAGACUGAUAUCAUACACUAAGAACGAAAAAGCAGUUGAGAGAACCAAAAGACCAUGCCCCUACUGAAAUUUCUUUUAAAGGUAAGAACUUCAAAUCUUUUUUCAUGUUGUGGUUUAGUCCGGUGCUUUUUUUUCUAGCUGAUUUAGUCUAAUAUUUUGGUGAAUGUUGCCUCUUUAGAAGAACGAGCUUUUGUGUUUUCUUUGAUAAUGGCUGAAAAUCAAUAAAAUUGAUAGUACCUGCAAAAUUGAGCAUCCAGUAAAAAAAGAAUCUGUAACUUAUCUCAAUAUGCUGUUUUCACAACUACAUGAAUUAUUUAAAUCAGAACGAUCAAUUCUGUCAUGUAAAUUCAACUUAUUUCAAAGAAAUCUAUUAAAAGAGGAUUAACGCAAGUUCAAACAACGCCUCUUCUAUCAAAUAUAUCUCAGUUCACCUUUUUAAGCAAAACUAAGUUAAAUUCUAUGACCAAGUCUAUUUCUAACAUUGGCUGCUCCGCCUGAUCAAGUCUCUUGGCCAAAGUAAUUAAGGGUGAUAAAAAAAAAUUUAAAAUUAAAAAAAGAGUGAUGUAAGUUUUAAACACUGAGUAGAGGUGAUAAUUGUAAGAGUAAUAUUAAUGACAUUAAUUUUAAAAUUGUUAAAUUUUACUAUUUACACAAAGAUUUCUGCACCAUAUUUAUAUAAAGAUUCCUACACCAUCACUAUUAUUCCUCCUCCACACUUUUUGUUCCCUCCUCCGCCUGUUCCUUCAGUAUCACCUCUUUCAGAUUCAUCAUUAUUUUCUUCCUCUACAUAACUAUCGCUUAUUUUUCUUUUUUCUCCUCCUUCACUAUCGCUAUUUAUACCGCAACAAAUAUCAUUUUCUCAUUCGACGUCACCACUAGCACCACCAUCUCUCUUUUUAUUAUAAAUAUCACUUUUUCAUGCGUUCUUCUCGAAUCACAUUUUUUUUAGAAAUGCAGCAACUGUUGAAGUUGCAGUAACUAUUGUAACAACUUUGAUAGUUGUUGAAGCAACUCUCCAAGUUGCUGAAUUUGCUGAAUUAUUUUUCAUUCAUUUUUAAAUGAAAUCAAAAAUUUUCUUUUUAAACUUCUCAAAUUUGUUUUAGAAAAUAAUCCAUAAAGAUUAAAAAAGGAAUAAGAACAAAAUGAAAAGAGAAAGAAAAAAAGAAGAAGAGAAGGUGGAAGAAGAGAAAAAUCUAGAGAGAAAAAAAUAAUAAGAAGAAGAUGGGGAGAAAGAAAUUUGGAAGGUGAAAGAAAAAAAAAUAGAAAGAUUAAAGAAAAAAAAUAGAAAGAUUGAAAGAUAAGAAAAUGUGAAAAUUUUAAAAUUUGAAAUUUAGUAGCCGUUUGACCAUCAAAAUUACAAUUUUUUGAAGUUAGAGUUAAAGUUGGAGUUGAAAUUGGAGUUGGAGUUGGAGUUGUGUUUGACCAUGAUUUUUUUGAUUUUUUUUUACUUUUGAUUUUUUUUUUUAAAAUAUGAUUUUAUGUCCCAACUUUUACAAACUAUCAAAAUCACCCAACUAAAAUUUACCAUUAACGAGAAAAGAACACAAUUAACCACUUUUAUAAAAAUAAUUACAUAUACAUGGCCAUAUUUAAUGAAUUUUAAUUAUGACAUAUAUAAUAUUUAUAUUAAUAGCCGUUUUCUCAUAUUUGAAAAAUUUUAAAUAUGGAUGUUAUAUUAACAUAUCACUGCUUCCUAUUUUUUAGGUAACAAAUAUUAUCUUUCAAACAAAUUUAUUUUUUUAGAAAUUUAUUUAAUUUAUUUUCUUUAUUUUUCGUUCCUAAAAAAUAUGAAGUGAUGAAUUGUUAUUAACUUUUAUGAUGCCGCUAAUUUUUUUCUUUAAUUUUCUUAUACAUGAAAGAUUUUACUGUGUGUGAAUAAAUUAUUUCUAUGUAAACAUACUUUGUAUAUUUAUGAUAUAUUAUAUCAAAUACCAUAAAUAUAUAAAUAUGCUUAGUAUGUUUCUUAAUAUUUUGUAUAUUUAUAUAUGUGUAUAUGAUAUAUACAUGGUAUAAACUUUAUAUAUAACAUACGUUGUCUAUUUAUAGUAUGUUUCUUAAUAUUUUGUAUAUUUAUAUAUGUGUAUAUGGUAUACACAUGAUAUAAACUUUAUAUAACAUACUUUGUAUAUUUCUGUUAUAAAUAUAAUACUUUAUAUAUUUAUGGGUAUAAAUAUAAUACUUUGUGUAUAAAGAUACUAAGUAUUAUGCUAUAUAAAGGUAGCAGUUGCAGUUUAAGGUAUAAAUUUGUUAAAUUGAACAUAUUUUUUUUAUGAAAAAUAUGUAUCACCGAUUUAUAUUUUUAGCAUAUAUAUGGUGUAAACUAUUUAUAUUUGAAUAGUAUAAUAAAGAUGUACACAAUAUAAUAUAUAUAAUCAAAUUAAAAAUGAGAAUAAUUUGUGGCAGUGGUAAACUAAUCUGAUACAGCUUUAUUAAUUUCAUAAAUAUAGAAAACGAUUAUCCAUUAUUAAUUACACGACUAUAAUUUCUUAAACGUCUGUAAUACAACAACAAAAUUAUUAUUAUUAUUAUAUUAUAGUAAUUAGGAUCAUUAACAAUAAAAUAAUGUCUUAAAUAAGGGAGAAAAAUAAUGAUGAGAGAGAAAAAGAGAUAUAUUAAUUAGGAUAGCAUUAAGUUUGAAAUUAUAAUUAUCUUAUUCUUUAAAACUGUUAUAGACGUAAUAUUGAAAAAAUAAUGUUAUAAGGAGAGUUUUAUAUAAAAAUUUAAAAGAUUGAGGUUAUAUGUAAUAAUAAUAAAAGUUGAAAUUGGAGUUGGAAAAUUGUGAAAACACCAAAAACCUGUUUUUCCUUUGCAGAAAAAAUUUUCAAAAUUAUUUUUCAAAUUUUCAUGGUCAAACAUCAUAAUUUUCAACUCCGAAAUUUUUUUUCGAAAAAAAAAGAAAAAAAUUUCAUGGCCAAACGGACCCUUAGAGUUGGAAGACUUUUGAAAAAUUUAAAUAGUUAAAAAAAAAAUUAUAUUUUACACUUUAAUUUAUUUUAAUCACUAAUUAAAAGAAAUUUAAUUUGAGUAGAUCAAAAUUGUCAUCAAUUUUAAUUUUAAAAUUUAUUUGUCACCUCACACUUAAUUUUCUCAAGUCUCUUGAAUACAUUACAAAGAGAACUCUAGAAAGAAUUUUCAGCAAGUCUAGCGUCCUUAUCAUCAAAUUAAAAGAUGAAAUGUUGGAAUCGUUGGGAUGUUGGAUGAAGUAUAAAAAAAUAAAAGGGAUAAAUGUUAGGGAGUCACAGUGUUUACCUUUUAUCUACUUGUGUUCAAAUUUUUACAACUAGAAUCUAUUUCAACUAGUAGAUAAAAGAUGACAAUACAGAGGGUGUGUUUGGUACGAAGAAAAAUAUUUAUCAAAAAAUAUUUUCUAAUUUUUUUAUGUUUGGUUGACUUAAAGUUUUUGAAAAAUAAUUUUUAAAUUAGUUUAUUUUUUUCAAUUCUAAGAAAAAUGGCUUUCCUUAAAAAAAGUAAGAAAAAUAUUUUUCAAAACUCUAUUUCAACCUCAUUCUUAAGUUGAAAUAUUCAUAAAACUCUCAAAAUCAUCCAUCACUACUCCGACCUUCAAUCCUCUUUCCCCACCCCACCCCGCCUCCUACCACUUCUAUUAAAAAAAUAUUUUAAAUUUUUUUCUUACCUUACCCCCUAUCCAAAACCCAAAAUUCAAACCUCUAUCUUCUUUCAGGAAAAAAAUUAAUUUUUUUUUAAAAAAUUGAAUUUUCUUUUUAAAAAAUUCAAUUUUUUUUCUUAACUCUCCUACCCAACCCCCUAUCAAUCUCCUCCUAGAUUUAAUUUUUUAAAAUUAAUUUUUUUAAAAAUUUCAAUUUUUUACCCUCACUCCCCUACCUCUACCCCUACCCCCCAAUACUCCCUAUUAAAAAAUAAUAUUUUAAAUUUUUUCUUACCCCACUCUUUCUCUCUUAUCCCCACCCCCAACUAGCCCCCCAACUCCCCCAAAAAAUUAAUCUAUUUUUUUAAAAAAUAAAAUUAUUUUCUUACCUCAUUCUUAUUAUCUAUUUUGCCAACCCCAACUCCCACCUACCAACCCCAUUUCAAUUUUUUUUUUAAUAUUUUUAAUUUAUUUUUUAAAAUAAAUUCAAAACUUUUUUCUUAUUCUAUUCGUUCUUAUUAUUUUUGUUAAAUGUAUACAAAUACUUUUAGAAAACAUAUAUUUAUCCUAUUUGCAUAACAAUCACACAAAUAUAAGUAAGAAAUAAUUUAUUUUUUUAGAAAAUAUUUUUCCACCUUCAUAUCGAACGCACUCUAAAAAAAUAUUUUUUGAGAUCAAAAAUUAUUUUUCAAAAAUAUAUUUUUACGCUUUAACUAAACACUAGAAUGUAUGUUUUGAAAAAUAUUUUUUCAUUCACUAAUUAAACACUAUAAAAUAUUUUUCGAAAAAUAUUUUUCAUCCACCAAAUAAAAAAAAUAAGUAAGAAAUCAACUUAUUUUUCAAAAAAAUAUUUUCUAGGAAAACAUUUUCCUUCGUACCAAACACACCCAGUCUCACUAAUAUUUAUAUUCUUUUUUAUUUAUUAACCUUCGUCCCUGCCAUCUUACCUCCAUCUUUUCAACUUCUCAUCUUUUAACAUAAUGAUGAAGGCGCUAAAUUUAUCUGAAAGUUCUUUCGAAAAAUCUCCUUCUGAUCUAUCCAUGAGAUUACUUCAUCAUGUGGAGCAGCUAGUAUAAGAAAAUGAUCUUUUGUGAGUUUUACUAGAUUUUAGGUGAGAAUCUGAAACGAAGAAGUGGAUCGAUUCUGAAAUUGAAAUUAACACUGUUUUGCUUGAAAUAAAAACAACAGUGAAUGGAGGAGUUAAGAGAAGUUAGCUAAAUUAAAGUGAAUUUAAAGAAGAGAUGAAAUCUUUGACCAAAAUUAUAAACUCAACUAAAAAGCAAAAUUAAUAUUUUUAGACCUCGUGUGUUCUCUUCAUCCUAUAUAUAUUACCUGUUCAUAUUAUUUCACUAUUAUACAGAAAUGUGAAGCAGUUAAUACUUUAUCAAUAUUUAAUAAAAAAAUAAAUAAAUAUGUCUGUUUAACUGUUUCAAUCAUAAUUUUAUUAUAUCAUUUUAAAUUAAUUAUUAUAAGUUAUCUAAUAUUAAAAAUUAAUAAUAUUUAAUAAAAAAUAAAAUAAACAUAAAAUAAUAAUUAACUUUUGAUGUUUUAAAUUAAUUUGACAUCUUAUAUGAGGCUUACUUAAAUUUUUUUUAUAAGUAUCUUUUAUAAUAACGUUGUUUGAUCAAUUCUAAAUAGUUAUAUCAAUUCUAAAUAGUUAUUACUCUCGAAAUUAUAUCAGUGUGACUUAAAUUGAAAUAGAAGAAAAAGUAUUAUAAAUAGAAUAAUUAAAACGUUAAAUUGACUAUCAAUGCCACAAAAAUCUGGACAAAGAGAGUAAACAUAUAUUAUUUGAAAAUUACAUAAAAAACACUAUAAAUUACAAUAGUUAACCACUUAAAAUAUCUAAAAACAUAUUAAAAAUAUAAUUGUUUUUUCAAAUUCUAUUUGUGUCACAUAAAUUGAAACAAAAAAUAACAUAUAACACAAGCCAUCAAUAUCUAUUUAGUAUAUAUAGUAGUCCUAAAUUGGUCGUCUAUUAAUUAUCCAUAUUAUUAUAAAUAAAAACUAGUUUUAGAAAAGCUUUUUAGGGUUAGUAAAAUUAUCCUUUUUAUUUAUAAUUUUUUAAGGGGCAUGUCAUGAAGAAAGCAGACAACUAAUACGAAAGGAAACAAGUAUAAAACGGAUUUUCCUAUUAAAUGAAUUAUAAUUUGUUCGUGUAUUCUUUCAUGAUUUGUUUAAUUACUAAACAUAAUCGAAAAAAGGUAUGUGAUUGUAUUUUUAAUGAAUCAAUCGUUUUUCAUGAAAAGUUAACAUGUUAUUUGAUAUAUGUGAUAAAAAUUUGACUAUUCUUAAAUUAUUAUGAUCAUUUAUCUCAAGUACCAGACGGACGGCAUAAAUACCUAUUUAAGUUUUGGUAAGUUUUGUUAAUGGUCAACUUGGAUUACAUUGGCUAUACAUAUUGGCGUAAUCACCUUGAUGUUGAAUAAAUUACAUUUUCAUUUUUUGAUUUCGACAUUCUUAUCGACUUUUGACUCAUUCUACUUCUAGCAAUAGAUAUAUCCCCUCAAAUUAAAGUUGGGAGGUGUUCUUAACUUUGUGAUUGCACUUUAGCAUUAAUGGUUUACAAUUUUAUAAGGAGGCAAAAAAGAAGCAAAUUGUAAGUGAAAGAAGAGAGAAAAUCCAAAAGGAGACAAGACAAAGGCAAAGACAUUUAUUAUAGUCUUUGGCCAUGUCCCCACUUCAGAAUUUUUUAUUUUAAUUAUCCACUGCAACUCAAAAGUGAGAUUCAAGAACAAGACAACAUAACAUAACAAUGUCAUAAUGUAUUUGUCAGUAGUAAACAUGUCACCACCCUCGUGUCUAUCCUACGUCUGUUGACAAGUAUUCGUUGCCAAGGAAGAUGGGGAUUGAGUAGAUUGUCAAAACUUAAAAAGUUUACUAAAGAAGAUAACAUAUUUUUCUCUUGUGCAAAGUAAAAAUUUUAGUGCAUCGAAAUGUCCUAUAUUUUAUUUAUUUAGACGAAUAGGCAAAUAAAGAAAAACUUUAAAGGUGGAAUUCAUUUGAAAAAGGAAAAAAAGAGAGAAUCCUUAAGUGUCUAAAUAAUUCUUGGAUUUGAUAUUUUAAACUAAGUGGGAUGAAAAUAUAUCCCAGAGAGAUACGUAGAACUCCUCAACAAAGAAAAAAAGGAUGCGAAUAAUUCGAAGACCCUAUAAAAAUUAGGUCCCAAAUUCUGAAAGUCCACUUAGAGAUGGCAAUAAGACACAUAUAAUAAGCAUGGAUAUAGUAAAAGCAAUAUUGUGAAGGGAAAAGGCAUAUUCAGAAAGCAUAAAUAAAUGGUGCAACUUGCUAGCAACCCGAAUUGUCCACGAAGAGUGAACGUGUGCAAGUCCAUAAUCUUGAAGUUAACGUGUACUAGUAUUUGAGAAUCUUGGAUUGAGUUUGGGCUUUCUCGUUUGGUUACAACAAAUACCUAAACUUUCACCUAAAUGAUGAGAAUUUGAUUCUCCACCUUGUAAGCCCCUUCCCAUUUGCAAAAUUAUUCUUCUAUACGAACUUCAUUAUCUCCUCUUGAGUGUCUUUUACAAUUUGCCAAAUUGAAUUACAACUAAAAACAAAAUAUACUUAAUUAAAGAAAAAGAUAAGUGAAAUUAGGAAGAGAGCAAAAUUGGAUAUCAUAUUACUCCAUCAUAUUUCUAUGCAGCUGAAUAACAAAGGCCCAACUUCGUCCCAAGUCCCAAGACUAUUGUUGUAGUAUCAUGGGUUGUCCUUGGCUGAUUCCAGAAGCCAGACACUACUCUUCUUUUUAGAUGCUGCUGGUGGUUACGGAAGAAAAUACAGCCCGAUGAUGCCACAAGCCCCACGAGCAGUGGCGGAUGUACAUGUAUUCCAGGGUUCAUCCGAACCCUCUUCGUCAGAAAAUUAUACUAUUUUUACAUGGUAAAAAUUUUUUUAUGUAUAAAUAAUGGAGGCUGAAUCCCCUUGACUAGUCCAUAUAUGUACUACUGAACCCCCUCAUUGAAAAUUCUGGAUCCACCCCUGCCCACGAGGUAACCAGCUAUAGCUCCAUAAGUCACACAAAUAGGCCAUUCCUACGUGCAAAUACCAAUUUCCAUGAAUGAGGACAAACCAUUUACUAAAACAUUUUCCAACCCCAUGCAGAGGUCUGUAAAAUAGGAAAAUGUCAUCUUUUCAUGAAGCGCAUAACCUAAAUAUAAAAAGAAUCUUU
Molecule: long non-coding RNA, 8248 nt
Filed under: Capsicum annuum
Lineage: Eukaryota; Viridiplantae; Streptophyta; Magnoliopsida; Solanales; Solanaceae
Description: long non-coding RNA (CANN_LNC019327)
Source: RNAcentral